Molecule: long non-coding RNA, 212 nt
Filed under: Carica papaya (papaya)
Lineage: Eukaryota; Viridiplantae; Streptophyta; Magnoliopsida; Brassicales; Caricaceae
Description: long non-coding RNA (CPAP_LNC016455)
Source: RNAcentral
UAGGAAAAAUAGAAGAAUUACUAAUCUUAUAUAUGAAAUUAAAAUGUCAUUUGGUUACUUGUCUUCAUAGGUUGAUUUUGAAAAAAUCUGUGGCAGUAAAUAUGGAAUAAAACGUUUUAAAGUCAAAUGUAUUUACUUAAAUCAAGGACUCCAUUAGUUGUUUUGUGAUUUUUAUUAACCUUCAAUUUUUCGUAUAAGUGAUUAGUGUGAUA